ACGGGUGAGUAAUAUAUGGGAACGUACCGUGGAGUGGGGGAUAACGUAGCGAAAGUUACGCUAAUACCGCAUACGAUGUACGGAUGAAAGUGGGGGAUCGCAAGACCUCAUGCUAGUGGAGCGGCCGAUAUCUGAUUAGCUAGUUGGUAGGGUAAAAGCCUACCAAGGCAUCGAUCAGUAGCUGGUCUGAGAGGACGACCAGCCACACUGGAACUGAGACACGGUCCAGACUCCUACGGGAGGCAGCAGUGGGGAAUUUUGGACAAUGGGCGAAAGCCUGAUCCAGCAAGGCCGCGUGAGUGAAGAAGGCCUUCGGGUUGUAAAUUAUGGGGUCAGGGAAGAAACGGUGAGAGCUAAUAUCUCUUGCUAAUGACGG
This 376-nucleotide ribosomal RNA is filed under the name uncultured bacterium. RNAcentral describes it as "bacterial SSU rRNA". It matches the Rfam family "Bacterial small subunit ribosomal RNA", at positions 102 to 475 of the family's 1533-position model. The record is from RNAcentral.